Molecule: ribosomal RNA, 804 nt
Filed under: Escherichia coli
Lineage: Bacteria; Pseudomonadati; Pseudomonadota; Gammaproteobacteria; Enterobacterales; Enterobacteriaceae
Description: partial 23S ribosomal RNA
Rfam family: Bacterial large subunit ribosomal RNA
Source: RNAcentral
AAUGAUGGCCAGGCUGUCUCCACCCGAGACUCAGUGAAAUUGAACUCGCUGUGAAGAUGCAGUGUACCCGCGGCAAGACGGAAAGACCCCGUGAACCUUUACUAUAGCUUGACACUGAACAUUGAGCCUUGAUGUGUAGGAUAGGUGGGAGGCUUUGAAGUGUGGACGCCAGUCUGCAUGGAGCCGACCUUGAAAUACCACCCUUUAAUGUUUGAUGUUCUAACGUUGGCCCGUAAUCCGGGUUGCGGACAGUGUCUGGUGGGUAGUUUGACUGGGGCGGUCUCCUCCUAAAGAGUAACGGAGGAGCACGAAGGUUGGCUAAUCCUGGUCGGACAUCAGGAGGUUAGUGCAAUGGCAUAAGCCAGCUUGACUGCGAGCGUGACGGCGCGAGCAGGUGCGAAAGCAGGUCAUAGUGAUCCGGUGGUUCUGAAUGGAAGGGCCAUCGCUCAACGGAUAAAAGGUACUCCGGGGAUAACAGGCUGAUACCGCCCAAGAGUUCAUAUCGACGGCGGUGUUUGGCACCUCGAUGUCGGCUCAUCACAUCCUGGGGCUGAAGUAGGUCCCAAGGGUAUGGCUGUUCGCCAUUUAAAGUGGUACGCGAGCUGGGUUUAGAACGUCGUGAGACAGUUCGGUCCCUAUCUGCCGUGGGCGCUGGAGAACUGAGGGGGGCUGCUCCUAGUACGAGAGGACCGGAGUGGACGCAUCACUGGUGUUCGGGUUGUCAUGCCAAUGGCACUGCCCGGUAGCUAAAUGCGGAAGAGAUAAGUGCUGAAAGCAUCUAAGCACGAAACUUGCCCCGAGAUG